AUAGGAUGGUGUGUAUAGACAGUAGUUAUAAUAGGAUGGUGUGUAUAGACAGUAGUUAUAUAGGAUGGUGUGUAUAGACAGUAGUUAUAAUAGGAUGGUGUGUAUAGACAGUAGUUAUAAUAGGAUGGUGUGCAUAGACAGUAGUUAUAUAGGAUGGUGUGCAUAGGCAGUAGUUAUAAUAGGAUGGUGUGUAUAGACAGUAGUUAUAUAGGAUGGUGUGUAUAGACAGUAGUUAUAUAGGAUGGUGUGCAUAGACAGUAGUUAUAUAGGAUGGUGUGUAUAGACAGUAUAGACAGUAGUUAUAUAGGAUGGUGUGUAUAGACAGUAUAGACAGUAGUUAUAUAUAGGAUGGUGUGUAUAGACAGUAGUUAUAUAUAGGAUGGUGUGUAUAGACAGUAGUUAUAUAUAGGAUGGUGUGUAUAGACAGUAGUUAUAAUAGGAUGGUGUGUAUAGACAGUAUAUGAAUUAGAAAGUGUGUACAGCAGUAGUUAUAUAGAAUGAACCAUGACUAGAAUACAGUAUAUAGACAUGAAGUAGGUAAAACAGUAUGUAACCGUUAUUAAAGUGGUUCCAUGACUCUGUACCGUACAUAAGGCAGGAGUCUCUGAGGUGCAGUUGAACCCUGUGGCUGCGUUCCGAUGUUCCACCCUUCUCCAGAACUCAAAACCAUUGGAUCGGUACAAGUAUGACUGGAGGGGAGUUCCCAUUUCCAUCAUAUUUCUGACACCAGUCCAAUAAUUUUAAAUCCAUAAAGGGAAGUGUACAAGUGCACACCUCAGGGAGAAGGGUAGAGAAUUGGAAUGUGGUAACCUUUGACCUCCAUAAAUGAUAUUUGUGAGGUUAGAGGGCUGAUUGAGCGUUCGUUGCUCUUUACUACUGGUAAAAAAAAAGUUGAAGCCAAGAUCAAGACUCAUCAUAGCCAGACCUGGAUUGUGAUUUUACUAUAAUAGACGUCACAUGACGGUGUGGUGUGGUGUGUUACCUUCACGGUGUGGUGUGGUACGUUCAUGUUGUGGUGUGUUACCUUCACGGUGUGGUGUGUUACGUUCAUGUUGUGGUGUGUUACCUUCACGGUGUGGUGUGGUGUGUUACGUUCAUGUUGUGGUGUGUUCAUGGUGUGGUGUGGUACGUUCACAGUGUGGUGUGGUGUGUUACGUUCACAGUGUGGUGUGGUAUGUUCAUGUUGUGGUGUGUUACGUUCAUGUUGUGGUGUGUUGUGGUGUGGUACGUUCAUGUUGUGUUGUGGUGUGUUACGUUCACAGUGUGGUGUGGUGUGUUACGUUCAUGUUGUGGUGUGUGGU
Molecule: long non-coding RNA, 1301 nt
Organism: Oncorhynchus tshawytscha (Chinook salmon)
Lineage: Eukaryota; Metazoa; Chordata; Actinopteri; Salmoniformes; Salmonidae
Source: Ensembl